CCCAUGGAGCUCAGUUCUUAAG
This 22-nucleotide microRNA is filed under the name Salmo salar (Atlantic salmon). RNAcentral's name for it is "ssa-miR-146d-3p". Its record names the gene ssa-miR-146d-3p. The record is from miRBase by way of RNAcentral. Lineage: Eukaryota; Metazoa; Chordata; Actinopteri; Salmoniformes; Salmonidae.